UUGAAUCGAAAAAAUGGCUUGUUGUUUUGAUAUAUAGAUUUAUUUUUGAAUUUACUUUGAAUAUUAUUAUUCCAACAAGAAUUGCCAUGCUGAUUUUAAUAAGAGAAUAUUAUUGUUUCAACUAUCAAGUCAAUUUGAGCUUUCCCGAAAAGCUGAAAGUGUAAUAAAGGAGAAUACAUUUAGAAAUAUCUUAUUAAUAUAAACAAACGAGUGUUAUCAGACCAGACUUGAUUAUUAACUAUAUCGAUAAAACAGAUAUCGUCAACUAAAGAGUAGAAUAUAAGUUAUUUUUAUCAUGUGAUUUCAUUGUUUAGAUGAAUGACAAUAACAUCUUCAAUGGAAAAAAUAAAUUAGAUUCUAAAAAUCAGGUAGGACAUUUUGUAACGUUUCACUUGAAAUUAGUAAACAAUGUUUUUGGAACUUGAAGUUUUUGAUAAAAGAUAGGAAUAAAUUAACUAUUUAACGAGUCGAUCAUAAAUACAUUGCAUGUGGAAUAUUUGAAGUUCCCGAUAUUUAAGAUGCCGAAUUUUCUAUGGAAUAAAUGGAUCAAAAACUGACAUCCGAGGGAAUUGGAACUGGAGUAAGAUGGGGUUUUAUGUUUGCUACCCGAGAUUCCAUCAGCACCCUCUGGAUCGCAAAUUAUUCUCAUCAAUGUGUCGGAUAGUUCGUAUCAGUCUCGUACGGUGCUGAAAUGAAAAGAAUAUUACCAUUACGACUUUCUCAAAUAAAAAUAGUCGAAUGGUA
Long non-coding RNA from Armigeres subalbatus, 744 nucleotides. RefSeq lists it as uncharacterized. The transcript has 3 exons. The record is from RefSeq and is a predicted model, not a curated record. Lineage: Eukaryota; Metazoa; Arthropoda; Insecta; Diptera; Culicidae.